AGAUCUCCUGGAGAGGUCUCUGCGCCACCAGUCCACCGUGGGGUUCUCAGAAGCCGUUUGAUACGAAGACUGUUCUUGUCGCAGCAGUGGCGUUACAGUCUAACUGCUCGUCCACCAGGUGGCGCUGGAGAACCUGAUCGUGGAUUUGCUUCAAGGUUGACUUUCUGCAAAGACAGACUUGAUGAAUCCAAGUCCUUAGCCUUGUUGGUGGUAGAAACAUUGCAUCAUGAUCAACUUCUGUCCAACAUGUUGAGAGGUCGGCUUCCAGUCCAAGUGCCAUCGGGGACUCUGCCACCAAAAUCCUGGACCUGCUGGGCAAAGAGACUAGUUCGACAUGACUGUGGAGAAGGACUCCCGGAGAAGUCUCUGUGCCACCAGUCCAUUCUGAAGGCUUCAGUCUUUGAUACAAAGACGGUUCUUGUCCCAGUACUUGUUACAAGCAGAAGGUUCCUGUCUACCUGAGAUGAUUUUCCACCAAGGUCCUUGCUUGUCUUUUGUCUGCAGUCACAACAGCCUCUUGUUUUAAGUCAUUGGGAGCUGAGGAACAUUAUGGUGGUAUUUAAAAUAAAAAAACAAAAUAGCUGACAUGAGAAAUUCAGCAGUUUAACAACUUUCUCUUCUGCAGUUGUAUGCAGAUACGCUGCAACAAAGACCCUCAAGUUCUUUAACUUCUUGGUCCUGGACACUUGCAUGUUCUUCAUGCUCACGUCCACCAGGUGGCGCUGAAGGAUCCCUUGAGAACCUGAUCAUCUCCAGAAGUAAAUUUCAGUCAAGGUUGGAACCUUUUGCUAAGACAGACUUGAUGAAUCCAAAUACUUGGUUUCUUGUUGUUGUAGGUGGUGGAAACAUGGCGUCAUGGUCAACUUUCUGUCCAACAUGUUGAGGUGACGUAAGCUACAAAACAAGCUCAGCAAAUUUAAGUUUGAAGUGCCAUCGCCUGCUUUUUCCUUUGACUCCACAUGCAGGUCAGCUUCCACUCCAAGUGCCAUCGGGAACUCAGCCAGCAAGAUCCUCGACCUGCUGGGCAAAGAGACGAGUUCGACAUGAACGUGCAGAAGGUCCUCAACGCUGCCUUCAUCUUGGUUGAUGCCUUGCUAAUGAAUUUAUUAAACAGCAGCUUGACUGGUUCCCUGUUCAUCUCUUGUUGUGUUCAGGUCUUCAGUUUGAAACUCAGACGAUUCCUCAUGUCGUCACGCUCAAACAGCUUCUGCCGAAGGUUACGGAACUUGAGUCUGUGUCCACUUGCAUGUUCUUUGUCAUUCAGGUGGUCGUGCAGAUGGAGCCAUCAGUCCUACAAGUGCUGAAGCCAAAUUUUGGAACAGCCUGAGAAGUGGGAGACCUUGACCCCUGGACGGUACGCCCUUUGCAAUGUCUUCAUUCCACAAUUGGGUCUUCUUGGAUCCAGUUUUCCCCCCCCCCUUCCAGAGUUGCUGAGGAAUACGCAGCUGUGCGAGUGCUCUAAGGCCCAGAAAACAAGUCGCCUGUCUUCCUCGCUGGUGCGCACACCAGUCCACGCUCUCGUCACACUGGCCGACCACGCAGCGAUGAGGAGACGGUUGCUGAUGUCAUCAGACUUCAACUUGGUUUCCUUUGUGAUUUCAUGUCUGUU
Phycodurus eques (leafy seadragon) is the source of this 1609-nucleotide long non-coding RNA. RefSeq lists it as uncharacterized. The transcript has 5 exons. The record is from RefSeq and is a predicted model, not a curated record. Lineage: Eukaryota; Metazoa; Chordata; Actinopteri; Syngnathiformes; Syngnathidae.